UGGGGAAUUUUGGACAAUGGGCGCAAGCCUGAUCCAGCAAUGCCGCGUGCAGGAUGAAGGCCUUCGGGUUGUAAACUGCUUUUGUACGGAGCGAAAAGGUCUGCCCUAAUACGGUGGGCUCAUGACGGUACCGUAAGAAUAAGCACCGGCUAACUACGUGCCAGCAGCCGCGGUAAUACGUAGGGUGCGAGCGUUAAUCGGAAUUACUGGGCGUAAAGCGUGCGCAGGCGGUUUGCUAAGACCGAUGUGAAAUCCCCGGGCUCAACCUGGGAACUGCAUUGGUGACUGGCAGGCUAGAGUAUGGCAGAGGGGGGUAGAAUUCCGCGUGUAGCAGUGAAAUGCGUAGAUAUGCGGAGGAACACCGAUGGCGAAGGCAAUCCCCUGGACCUGUACUGACGCUCAUGCACGAAAGCGUGGGGAGCAAACA
RNAcentral lists this ribosomal RNA (427 nucleotides) under uncultured bacterium. Its description in RNAcentral is "bacterial SSU rRNA". It matches the Rfam family "Bacterial small subunit ribosomal RNA", at positions 355 to 774 of the family's 1533-position model. The record is from RNAcentral.